This is a long non-coding RNA of Herpailurus yagouaroundi (jaguarundi), 1120 nucleotides long. RefSeq lists it as uncharacterized. The transcript has 4 exons. Lineage: Eukaryota; Metazoa; Chordata; Mammalia; Carnivora; Felidae. The record is from RefSeq and is a predicted model, not a curated record.
GCGGGGGCGCUGUGUCGUCUCCCGCCGUCACCGACGGCGUGAGCCCCGGGCGGCGAGGCCGGCGCUUCCACCACAGCCUGUCGUCCUCACGGUUCUGUGAGGCGUCCCUGUGCGCUAACAUUCGCAGAGGCGACCUAAGUCGUGACCACUUCCUGUGACAACUGGUCUCAAAGAUGAUCUGCGCGCAGCGGCGGGAAAAAGGAAACAGAGAAGCAUGACGUGACCCAGGACCCUAAAGAGGCCGACCCACGGCAUCCGGGCCUCCGCCCGCAGUUGUGACAGCCCCCCACCGUUCUUUCCAGAGCAGACCCGGUCAGUCAGUUGCAACACCUUGUCUCAGCCCGGAUUUGAACCCCGAACUACAAAACCUGAAUCCCGCUGCUGUCGCCUGGCCACCCCGUUCAGAAGAAUUUUGGAUUUAGUUUUCCUAUGUGAAAGAAGCUUCGAGGAUAUCAGAAUGUUCAGCUGCUGAUGAGUCAUAAAACCAUCUUUGAAAACAUAUAUUGAAAUGCUCUCCAAAUGUUAACUUUGGAUUCAGGACCAGGAAUCGGGCUCGUAUUUUUAGGAGACCUUCACAAAUUUCAGAAAUUUUCUCUAGCUGCGACAUGAAGAUCAUUCUAGCUCGUCUGAGCUUUGUUUCCCGGCCAGUUCCCCGCACAGUUACAUCACGGCGGUUCUACUCACCACAAGGGAAUGUUUCCGAACGAGAUUCCUGAGAUUCAUUCUGAUUGGAGAUAUUCAGGCCACAUCCUCACCCUCGAAGCUAAGGGUGAAUUCUCUUCUGUUGAAACAUACGGAAUCUAUCAAGGAGAGGUCAACAGGUACCCAGAAUGAAAUUCUCAAGUUCCAAUUUCUCUGCUUUCAAAUUUGGCCACAGUUUUGUCUCACCCCUUACUCCUCAACUUUAUUUCCUACUAAGAUCUUUCUAGGAGACAGGCUAGUCUCACCCCCAAGGAAUAGAAAUGUUUAAACCUGGUUUUGUAUUUCGUGGUGAUCUCGAUAUGUGGACGAUCUUUUCCUUUUUAAUUUCUCCCCAAGCCCCAAUUCAAAACCUACACUGUUUUUCUUCUUGCCAUGAACAAUGACAGUUCAAUUCAAUUAAACAUUUGUGCACUAAGUA